This 338-nucleotide ribosomal RNA is filed under the name uncultured delta proteobacterium. RNAcentral describes it as "bacterial SSU rRNA". It matches the Rfam family "Bacterial small subunit ribosomal RNA", at positions 202 to 523 of the family's 1533-position model. Lineage: Bacteria; Deltaproteobacteria. The record is from RNAcentral.
AAAGGGAGCUCGCAAGAGCCCUCACUCUGGGAUGAGCCUGCGUCUCAUUAGCUAGUUGGUGGGGUAAUGGCCCACCAAGGCAUUGAUGGGUAGCUGGUCUGAGAGGAUGAUCAGCCACACUGGAACUGAAACACGGUCCAGACUCCUACGGGAGGCAGCAGUGGGGAAUCUUGCGCAAUGGACGAAAGUCUGACGCAGCCACGCCGCGUGAGUGAAGAAGGCCUUCGGGUUGUAAAGCUCUGUCGAGCGGGACGAAAAAUUAUUAGGUGAAUAGCCUAGUAAUCUGACGGUACCGCUAAAGGAAGCACCGGCUAACUCUGUGCCAGCAGCCGCGGUAA